CAUAGUACCUGUGAAGAUGCAGGUUACCCGCGACAGGACGGAAAGACCCCGUGGAGCUUUACUGUAGCCUGAUAUUGAAAUUUGGCACAGCUUGUACAGGAUAGGUAGGAGCCUUUGAAACGUGAGCGCUAGCUUACGUGGAGGCGCUGGUGGGAUACUACCCUGGCUGUGUUGACUUUCUAACCCGCACCAUUUGAUCAUGGUGGGAGACAGUGUCAGGCGGGCAGUUUGACUGGGGCGGUCGCCUCCUAAAGAGUAACGGAGGCGCUCAAAGGUUCCCUCAGAAUGGUUGGAAAUCAUUCGCAGAGUGUAAAGGCACAAGGGAGCUUGACUGCGAGACCUACAAGUCGAGCAGGGUCGAAAGACGGACUUAGUGAUCCGGUGGUUCCGCAUGGAAGGGCCAUCGCUCAACGGAUAAAAGCUACCCCGGGGAUAACAGGCUUAUCUCCCCCAAGAGUUCACAUCGACGGGGAGGUUUGGCACCUCGAUGUCGGCUCAUCGCAUCCUGGGGCUGUAGUCGGUCCCAAGGGUUGGGCUGUUCGCCCAUUAAAGCGGUACGCGAGCUGGGUUCAGAACGUCGUGAGACAGUUCGGUCCCUAUCCGUCGUGGGCGUAGGAAAUUUGAGAGGAGCUGUCCUUAGUACGAGAGGACCGGGAUGGACAUACCUCUGGUGUACCAGUUGUCGCGCCAGCGGCAUAGCUGGGUAGCUAUGUAUGGACGGGAUAAGUGCUGAAAGCAUCUAAGCAUGAAGCCCCCCUCAAGAUGAGAUUUCCCAACUUCGGUUAUAAGAUCCCUCAAAGAUGAUGAGGUUAAUAGGUUCGGGGUGUAAGCGCAGUAAUGUGUGUAGCUGACGAAUACUAAUCGAUCGAAGACUUAAUCAA
RNAcentral lists this ribosomal RNA (881 nucleotides) under Mammaliicoccus sciuri. RNAcentral describes it as "partial 23S ribosomal RNA". It matches the Rfam family "Bacterial large subunit ribosomal RNA", at positions 2043 to 2925 of the family's 2925-position model. The record is from RNAcentral. Lineage: Bacteria; Bacillati; Bacillota; Bacilli; Caryophanales; Staphylococcaceae.